UACAGACGGGGCCAGCGUUGUUCGGAAUCACUGGGCUUAAAGCGGGUGUAGGCGGGUCGGCAAGUGUCUUGUGAAAGCCCUCGGCUCAACCGAGGAAUUGCUGGGCAAACUGCUGGUCUUGAGGCGGGUAGGGGUGCAUGGAACUCUAGGUGGAGCGGUGAAAUGCGUAGAGAUCUAGAGGAACGCCGGUGGCGAAAGCGGUGCACUGGGCCCGAUCUGACGCUGAGACCCGAAAGCGUAGGGAGCAAACAGGAUUAGAUACCCCCGUA
This 269-nucleotide ribosomal RNA is filed under the name uncultured prokaryote. Its description in RNAcentral is "partial 16S ribosomal RNA". It matches the Rfam family "Bacterial small subunit ribosomal RNA", at positions 524 to 792 of the family's 1533-position model. The record is from RNAcentral.